GGCUCAGAACGAACGCUGGCGGCAUGCCUUACACAUGCAAGUCGAGCGGCAGCGCGGGGGCAACCCUGGCGGCGAGCGGCGCACGGGUGAGUAAUGCAUCGGAACGUGUCCUCUUGUGGGGGAUAACCAGUCGAAAGACUGGCUAAUACCGCAUGAGCUCGCGAGAGGAAAGCAGGGGACCCGCAAGGGCCUUGCGCGAGAGGAGCGGCCGAUGCCGGAUUAGCUAGUUGGUGGGGUAAAAGCCCACCAAGGGGAAGAUCCGUAGCUGGUCUGAGAGGACGACCAGCCACACNGCUACCGAGACACGGGACNGACUCCUACGGAGUCAGUCAGUGGG
Molecule: ribosomal RNA, 337 nt
Filed under: uncultured beta proteobacterium
Lineage: Bacteria; Pseudomonadati; Pseudomonadota; Betaproteobacteria
Description: bacterial SSU rRNA
Rfam family: Bacterial small subunit ribosomal RNA
Source: RNAcentral